UACAGAGGGUGCGAGCGUUAAUCGGAAUUACUGGGCGUAAAGCGCGCGUAGGCGGCUUUUCAAGUCGAUUGUGAAAUCCCCGGGCUUAACCUGGGAACUGCAGUCGAGACUGUCUAGCUAGAGUAUGGGAGAGGGAAGUGGAAUUUCAGGUGUAGCGGUGAAAUGCGUAGAUAUCUGAAGGAACAUCAGUGGCGAAAGCGACUUCCUGGACCAAUACUGACGCUGAGGAGCGAAAGCCAGGGGAGCAAACGGG
RNAcentral lists this ribosomal RNA (253 nucleotides) under uncultured bacterium. RNAcentral describes it as "partial 16S ribosomal RNA". It matches the Rfam family "Bacterial small subunit ribosomal RNA", at positions 524 to 776 of the family's 1533-position model. The record is from RNAcentral.